This 468-nucleotide ribosomal RNA is filed under the name uncultured bacterium. RNAcentral describes it as "partial 16S ribosomal RNA". It matches the Rfam family "Bacterial small subunit ribosomal RNA", at positions 28 to 507 of the family's 1533-position model. The record is from RNAcentral.
GACGAACGCUGGCGGCGUGCUUAACACAUGCAAGUCGAACGGAAAGGCCCUGCUUUUGUGGGGUGCUCGAGUGGCGAACGGGUGAGUAACACGUGAGUAACCUGCCCUUGACUUUGGGAUAACUUCAGGAAACUGGGGCUAAUACCGGAUAGGAGCUCCUGCUGCAUGGUGGGGGUUGGAAAGUCUCGGCGGUUGGGGAUGGACUCGCGGCUUAUCAGCUUGUUGGUGGGGUAGUGGCUUACCAAGGCUUUGACGGGUAGCCGGCCUGAGAGGGUGACCGGCCACAUUGGGACUGAGAUACGGCCCAGACUCCUACGGGAGGCAGCAGUGGGGAAUAUUGCACAAUGGGCGGAAGCCUGAUGCAGCAACGCCGCGUGCGGGAUGACGGCCUUCGGGUUGUAAACCGCCUUCGCCUGUGACGAAGCGUGAGUGACGGUAAUGGGUAAAGAAGCACCGGCUAACUACGUG